GUCAAGGUCUCCGUUGGUGAACCAGCGGAGGGAUCAUUA
RNAcentral lists this ribosomal RNA (39 nucleotides) under Microcera sp. NHJ13867. RNAcentral describes it as "partial 18S ribosomal RNA". Lineage: Eukaryota; Fungi; Ascomycota; Sordariomycetes; Hypocreales; Nectriaceae. The record is from RNAcentral.